This 778-nucleotide ribosomal RNA is filed under the name uncultured bacterium. RNAcentral's name for it is "bacterial SSU rRNA". It matches the Rfam family "Bacterial small subunit ribosomal RNA", at positions 8 to 796 of the family's 1533-position model. The record is from RNAcentral.
AGAGUUUGAUCAUGGCUCAGGACGAACGCUGGCGGCGUGCUUAACACAUGCAAGUCGAACGGAUCAUCGGUUUCGGCCGGUGGUGAGUGGCGAACGGGUGAGUAACACGUGGGCAACCUGCCCCCUACUCUGGGAUAACUCCGGGAAACCGGGGCUAAUACCGGAUGCGACCCGGGUCCGCAUGGGCUCCGGGUGGAAAGGUUUUUUCCGGUGGGGGAUGGGCCCGCGGCCUAUCAGCUUGUUGGCGGGGUGACGGCCCACCAAGGCGUCGACGGGUAGCCGGCCUGAGAGGGCGAUCGGCCACACUGGGACUGAGACACGGCCCAGACUCCUGCGGGAGGCAGCAGUGGGGAAUAUUGCGCAAUGGGCGGAAGCCUGACGCAGCGACGCCGCGUGGGGGAUGACGGCCUUCGGGUUGUAAACCUCUUUCAGCGCCGACCAAGGCUUCGGUUGAGUGUAGGCGCAGAAGAAGCACCGGCUAACUACGUGCCAGCAGCCGCGGUAAUACGUAGGGUGCGAGCGUUGUCCGGAUUUAUUGGGCGUAAAGGGCUCGUAGGCGGCCUGUCGCGUCGGUUGUGAAAGCCCGGGGCUCAACCCCGGGUGUGCGGCCGGUACGGGCAGGCUGGAGUGUGGCAGGGGAGACUGGAAUUCCUGGUGUAGCGGUGGAAUGCGCAGAUAUCAGGAGGAACACCGGUGGCGAAGGCGGGUCUCUGGGCCAUUACUGACGCUGAGGAGCGAGAGCGUGGGGAGCGAACAGGAUUAGAUACCCCCGUAGUCC